Molecule: long non-coding RNA, 2551 nt
Organism: Pseudoliparis swirei
Lineage: Eukaryota; Metazoa; Chordata; Actinopteri; Perciformes; Liparidae
Exons: 4
Source: RefSeq, a predicted model, not a curated record
UGUUUGUUUGCUUGUGUGUGUGUGUUUGUGUCUUUCUUGGCCCGAUGAGCCUUGGCCAGGUUCACGGGCCUUGUCGACUGCGAUUACACCCGUUCUCGGACUCAUUAAGGCCAGAUCGCACGUCUGGCACGCCUCGUGCUCAUGAGAACGUGGUGCAGUGGCUCAAACAUGCUAAUGUGUGUUGUCUACUGGUUGAAAAGGUGGUGAAAGCUGAGAGAGAUGCUGAAACGGAGAGAGAACUGGCCGAGCCCCGACAUUUGAUCCAUCACAUUACAUGUGUGACAAGUCGCUCCUUCCGAAACAAGAAACGACGACCGCAAUCUGUGUCUGGAGCCGGAGGGAAGCGUCCGUGUUUCACCUCCCGGUGUCGGUGGAUCAGGAAUGGGCUCUGGAAUGUUAAUAAGGGAGGGAAAAGGCCAAACACGACUUAAAUGCCACACAGAUGUGGCAUAUCGGUGAUGCAAUCUCGCAAGGAAAUGAGGUGCGGCGCUUCCAGCCGCGGCGUUGUGUCGGAGGGCUGUUAACGUGACGACCGUACACAAGUGCACGCCCCUCCACCGCCCAUCUGGCUGUGAUUAUUGGCCAUGGCCUAAUCCAGCGCCGUGUCCCUUUUGACACAAUGGGGAAGGGCCGACUCUCUGUUGUCUCACUUCUUCUUCUUCUUCUAUCCCUCUUCUUUCGUCGCCGCCUCUCCUCCCCCCUCAUGCUCUCUCUCUCUUGCGUUCUCUUCCGACCUGUCUCCGUUUCGGCUCUGGUUCCUCCUCUCCUUUUUGCCCGGGUGCUGCUGCAUCUGUCACUAGCCGAGCGGCAAGCGUGGCGCUCUGCCAACGCUGACAGCUGGCAGAGAGAAAGGGAGAGACAAAUAAGCGGCAGAGGAAGAGAGGGAGAGGGGAGGGCGGUCGAUAAAUAUCUACACGGGUCGAACAUUUCUAAUAUCACCUUUCUGAACGCACAUAGAAUUACGGAGAAAUCGAUGACGGUCUGACGGAUGAGCAACAUAAAGGGUGGUGCAGCAACAACAACCUGCAGGAUGGAGCUGGUGUCUCUUUGUGUCCGUUAACCUUGGAGCAUUACUCCUACUGUUCUUACUUUCCCCUUUUUCAAAAUAUUGGUUUUCAUUUUUGUUUCUGGACGUAAUGGAGGAGGUUUAAAAAACGCUGUCGAUCCUUUUCCCCAAAUCUCUUUCAGUUGGCAGGCGGCCAUGUUUCAUGACGGGGGGGCACACUCAGGAAGAGAGCUCGAGUGGACUGAUCUGUUUAUUGACCUUUGUUUGUUUACAGGAGGAAAUAAAUAAUCAGAGGAUGGAUUUUCUGUCGUGUUGAGAGACUGCGGAAGGAUCAUUAAUCCUACAUUCCAGCUCAUUACCCCCAUAACUAGUCCUCCAAGUCGACUAAGCUGCCUUCCACAGAUGAGCCGAUCCGACUCCUCCUGUUAAACUGCUUUCUGAUCGGAUUCUAAAGUGAACCCUCAGUAACUUUUAGCAAAACACACAAUCUUCAAAAUAGUCUUUUUUUUUCUCUUUUUUUUCUAAAUUUUGUAAACAAAGGAAUGCAGAAUAAUACCUCAAAGAAGUUAGGGUAAACAGAACUUUACAUUCAGUCGUUUGGAGGUUGUGUAACUGACACGCUGUAUUUAUAUACAAAGAUUUCAAAUGAACAAACAACCACGAUAACAGCAAAUUAAGGUACAUUUAAAUAUAGUACGAAUUGAGACGUGGAAAAGUCAAAUCAUUCAUAAGCAGUAAAAUGCACCUCGGUUGGCUUUACUUGGAGGUUUCUUAGCGUUGCGUUCCUUCUAACAUCAGAAAGAAGUCUGAGGGUCUGACUCUGCUUCAAAGGUCACAACGUCUACUUCUUAUAGUCUCAUGGGUUUGACCCGUAGGGUCUGAGGUCGACUAACUUUAAGUACAUGUUGCUGUUUAUUAUCUGACUUUCAGUCUUUGAAUUUUUGAAAAAUCACUUCCUAAAUAAAAUGCAUUAUUAUUACCGUGAUAUAAUUGCCAGGUGCAUGGUUUGGCUAUAAGGCUUGUUUAGGUUUACCCAAAAAAACACCCGACUGGGGAGAGAUCAUUGGGUUAAAACAACCUCACUGUUUCAGUUCAACUUUAUUCAGGUUAUGGGAAACUAACAGCAGUCUCCUGCGUUAAAGGCAAAUGUGUUGUUGAAGUAUCCAUUGUUCUCUCUUGUGGGCCUGCAGCCAUAUACGUACAGCCCCACAUGAGGAUGGGCUGGUGGGAAGGCAGGUGGUUUUUUGGGAGUUUUUCCUGAUCCGAUGUGAGGUCCUGCGACAUGGAUGUCUAUGUGUACAGGUUGUAAAGCCCUCUGAGGCUAAUUACCUUCGCAUUGAAAAUGCCGGAAGGUUAUGUUUUGAUCGCCGUGUAUUUAUUUAUUUAUUUAUUUGUAUGCGUGUUAUUCGCAAAUCUCAAAAAGUAUUGAACCGAAUCGCAUGAAAUUUGGUGGGAUGAUUGUUUAUUAUCCGGGGACCAGUUGAUUAGAUUUUGGGAUCGAUCGGGUCAAAGGUCAAAGGUCAUGAACAGGUCAAAAUCUUUCGC